This 384-nucleotide ribosomal RNA is filed under the name Rafetus swinhoei (Swinhoes soft-shelled turtle). RNAcentral's name for it is "partial 12S ribosomal RNA". The record is from RNAcentral. Lineage: Eukaryota; Metazoa; Chordata; Testudines; Trionychidae.
GCCUAACCUAACAUGCAAUUAAAACACUAAUUGCUCGCCAAAUAACUACGAGUAAAAACUUAAAAUUUAAAAGACUUGACGGUACUUCACACCGCCCUAGAGGAGCCUGUCUAAUAACCGACACCCCACGAUUAACCCAACCCACCCUAGCCCAACAGUCUAUAUACCGCCAUCGCCAGCUCACCUUGUAAAAGAAACAUAGCGAGCCCAAAAGCAUCCACCACUAACACGAUAGGUCGAGGUGUAACUAAUGGGUGGGAUCAGAUGGGCCACAUUUUCUAAUAUAGAAAAUACGAAUAGACUAUGAAAGUAGAAACCGAAGGAGGAUUUAGCUAGUAUGUUGAGGACAAAAUGCUCAACCGAAAUAAACGCAAUGAAGUGCGU